Molecule: ribosomal RNA, 613 nt
Filed under: uncultured bacterium
Lineage: Bacteria
Description: bacterial SSU rRNA
Rfam family: Bacterial small subunit ribosomal RNA
Source: RNAcentral
UGCUUUUCUUGAUUAGUGGCGCACGGGUGAGUAAUGCAUAGAUAAUGUGCCCCUUAGUUCGGGAUAGCCACUGGAAACGGUGAUUAAUACCGGAUACUCCUUCUUGUUAUAAGACAAGUCGGGAAAGUUUUUCGCUAAGGGAUCAGUCUAUGCUCCAUCAGCUUGUUGGUGAGGUAAUGGCUCACCAAGGCUAUGACGGAUAUCUGGUUUGAGAGGAUGAUCAGACACACUGGAACUGAGACACGGUCCAGACUCCUACGGGAGGCAGCAGUGAGGAAUAUUGCACAAUGGAGGAAACUCUGAUGCAGCAACGCCGCGUGGAGGAUGACGCAUUUCGGUGUGUAAACUCCUUUUAUAGGGAAGAUAAUGACGGUACCUAAUGAAUAAGCACCGGCUAACUCCGUGCCAGCAGCCGCGGUAAUACGGAGGGUGCAAGCGUUACUCGGAAUCACUGGGCGUAAAGGGUGCGUAGGCUGGCUUUUAAGUCAGAUGUGAAAUCCAAUGGCUCAACCAUUGAACUGCAUUUGAAACUGAAAGCCUAGAGUUCAGAAGGGGCAGAUGGAAUUAGUGGUGUAGGGGUAAAAUCCGUAGAUAUCACUAGGAAUAUCAAAAG